Molecule: long non-coding RNA, 772 nt
Organism: Artibeus jamaicensis (Jamaican fruit-eating bat)
Lineage: Eukaryota; Metazoa; Chordata; Mammalia; Chiroptera; Phyllostomidae
Exons: 3
Source: RefSeq, a predicted model, not a curated record
UUCCAGCCCUGCCCCCCGCCCCAGGUUCGCCACUGGACCUGGGCAGGUACAGGGUAAGCCGGGUCCAGGCCACCAAAUUCAGAUGCUGGUAAUCUGAGGUUACAGGGCCUGUUGCUGAUCUGCAGUGAUAACAAGAGCUUCCUGGCCUUCCCUCCCGUGCUCAGAGAGGGCAAAGGGCUACCCCGACGUCACACAGCCUGGGUCCUUUUUACUUUCUCCAAGGCCCCAGUGAACUUUCUUUAGCACCAGAGUUAGGAAACUGCCUAUGCCCAGAAUGGGAGAGUGACUGUUGGGAGCACGACGCCCCAUCAAAUCCUCGCUCUUCCCUUUUCUAAGAGAACUGAACAGACCUGGGCAAGGGGCUCCUCUGCUCCGAGAGGGCCGAGGAGGAGCAGGAGCAAGCUGGGGCCGUGGCAGGAAGCUGGGCACCCGGAGUUGUCUGUGUUAACUGGGGCGGCCAGAAGCAGAGAAAAGGCAAUGUGAGGAGCCCAUCUGUGGUUUCAGACCCGAGUACCAGCUGAACUAGUCAGGAGACCUGACUAGUCCCCAGCAGGGGCAGCAGGCAGACCUGGUUUCAAGCUCCUGGGUUAUUUGCUCCUUCACUGUCUCAUCGACCUGCACUUUCUCACAGGCACAGGCUGCAGGCCUCAGAACAAGAGUUCCUUCCUCCCUGCGAAGUUCCCCCAGCUAUUCCUGGGGUGUUUGGGAACAUGCCUCCAGCUUUGGCAAAGAAGGAGUCUCCGUUACCUGUUUCAUUUCAAGGAAGAGGACA